UAGCUCAGUCAGCUGAGCGUGGCGCUAACAAUGCUAAGGUCAUGGGUUCGAUUCCUGU
RNAcentral lists this transfer RNA (58 nucleotides) under Apaloderma vittatum (bar-tailed trogon). It matches the Rfam family "tRNA", at positions 8 to 63 of the family's 71-position model. Rfam says of the family: Transfer RNA (tRNA) molecules are approximately 80 nucleotides in length. Their secondary structure includes four short double-helical elements and three loops (D, anti-codon, and T loops). Lineage: Eukaryota; Metazoa; Chordata; Aves; Trogoniformes; Trogonidae. The record is from Rfam by way of RNAcentral.